Molecule: ribosomal RNA, 489 nt
Filed under: uncultured bacterium
Lineage: Bacteria
Description: partial 16S ribosomal RNA
Rfam family: Bacterial small subunit ribosomal RNA
Source: RNAcentral
AGUGAACGCUGGCGGCAGGCCUAACACAUGCAAGUCGAACGGCAGCACAAGAGAGCUUGCUCUCUGGGUGGCGAGUGGCGGACGGGUGAGGAGUGCAUCGGAAUCUGCCCAUUUGUGGGGGAUAACCUCGGGAAACCGGGACUAAUACCGCAUACGACCUACGGGUGAAAGCAGGGGAUCUUCGGACCUUGCGCAGAUGGAUGAGCCGAUGCCGGAUUAGCUAGUUGGAGGGGUAAAGGCCCACCAAGGCGACGAUCCGUAGCUGGUCUGAGAGGAUGAUCAGCCACACUGGGACUGAGACACGGCCCAGACUCCUACGGGAGGCAGCAGUGGGGAAUAUUGGACAAUGGGCGCAAGCCUGAUCCAGCCAUGCCGCGUGUGUGAAGAAGGCCUUCGGGUUGUAAAGCACUUUUGUUGGGAAAGAAAAGCAGCCGGUUAAUACCCGGUUGUCAUGACGGUACCCAAAGAAUAAGCACCGGCUAACUUCGU